AGUUCAGCUCCUUCAGGAACCGCCAGCAUCCCACAGACUUGGCCCAUCAGAUUUCCAUCUCUGGGGAAUUCCCACCGCGCUCCUUCUCCACCCGCUCCCAGAGCCGCAGUGAGGAAGGCACCACGUCGGGGAUGGCGAGAGGGACAUCACUUAAAACACCCGCAGCUCAGCAACGUGGGAACACCAUCGCGUUUGUGCUCACCCAACAGAAAACAGAUCGGCCUUUUCCUUCCUGCACCUCAGCGGCACGGAGGGAAGCGCUGGCCUGAUUGCUCGCUGCAGCAAGCGGACUCGGUGAGGUGUCCCCAGCGCGACCGUAUGCCCGGGAGCUGGUGGCCAGCAUGGUGAUAGCCACGCAGAGCCACGCUGUGCUCAGCAGCCAUGGGGGCUGUAGCUGCCGAGCAGCCGGCCAGAAGAGCUGGGCAGCCAACACAUCCCUUCAGGAUUGCAUCAU
Molecule: long non-coding RNA, 454 nt
Filed under: Struthio camelus australis
Lineage: Eukaryota; Metazoa; Chordata; Aves; Struthioniformes; Struthionidae
Description: lncRNA (ENSSCUG00000013285.1)
Source: RNAcentral